GAAAUGCGAUAAGUAAUGUGAAUUGCAGAAUUCAGUGAAUCAUCGAAUCUUUGAACGCACCUUGCGCCCUUUGGUAUUCCGAAGGGCACACCUGUUUGAGUGUCGUGAAAUUCUCAACCCUCUUCGCUUUUUUGUGAACGUAGGGAUUGGACUUGGAGGCUUUGCCGGGCUUCACAUGCUCGGCUCCUCUCAAAUGCAUUAGUGCGUCUUGUUGCGACGUGCGCCUCGGUGUGAUAAUUAUCUACGCUGUGGUGGGCUCGCUUCUGUAGAGACACGCUUUCUAACCGUCCGAAAGGACAGCUUUCAUCGAACUUUGACCUCAAAUCAGGUGGGACUACCCGCUGAACUUAA
RNAcentral lists this ribosomal RNA (351 nucleotides) under Stereum ostrea. RNAcentral's name for it is "eukaryotic LSU rRNA". The stretch from base 1 to 105 matches the Rfam family "5.8S ribosomal RNA", at positions 50 to 154 of the family's 154-position model. Lineage: Eukaryota; Fungi; Basidiomycota; Agaricomycetes; Russulales; Stereaceae. The record is from RNAcentral.